Molecule: long non-coding RNA, 864 nt
Organism: Syngnathus acus (greater pipefish)
Lineage: Eukaryota; Metazoa; Chordata; Actinopteri; Syngnathiformes; Syngnathidae
Exons: 2
Source: RefSeq, a predicted model, not a curated record
CUUGACGGUUUGGGAGCGCUCCUCGAUCUUAUUCUUAUUGCAGCAGCGAUGGAUGGCCACAACCUCGCAUGUCCCCUGCUUCACCUGUCCCGCCGAGUACAAAUGGAGUGCGGGAGAGAAGGAGAUGACAAGCGCCGCCCGCCGCCGACAAGCCCAGACAUCUUGAACUGAUGGCUCAGCCGAGCGUUUGCCAUACGGAUGCAGGUGAGCGAGAAUGUCAUGAAAUUGACCAAAAAGUUCUUUUUUGCUGUCAAUAACUGACAAGACAACAUUCCUACUAAAUUAGUCCUAACAGCUUAAAUCCUAAUAGCUUUUUUUUUUUUUUUAGUCUGGGACAGCCUUUGGGUCGAAAGGUUGUGAGAUCUAUCUUUGUUCCACUUGCAGCAUCUCCUCCGCACCCGGCCAUAAAUCCUCCCGACGUUAUCGAUGUCUAACAGGCCCACCUCCGACCUGACCUCACUUUAUGCUAAUUCUAGUGUGAGUCACUGUGGCGGCCUUUGAGCAUGGCCCACCUUUGUAAAUUACGACAUGUAUGCUGCAUGCAUGGACACGCACACAUAAAAGUACUUGGAAGUCGGCGCUCAAGUGCGGCAAGAUCACUUGUGAGUCGUGCCAACCGCCUCUCCUCUUUGUCAUCAGUUAUGGGUUGUGUAUAUUUAGCAUACCACACAUUACCUCCUCCAUGCGUGGAAUCCGGCUUGACGUGACAUUUGUACAGUGAGAGAACUAUAUUUGUUGUAGCAGCCUUUAAGACAGACUAAACUACUUUCAUGGGUGGUAAUUUAAAUAAAAUGAUGAUUUAUUUAUUUGUUUAUUAGCCUUUGACUCAAUGUAGUUCACAAAACCACACAAUGCAUCUCAUGG